UGGGGAAUAUUGGACAAUGGGCGAAAGCCUGAUCCAGCCAUGCCGCGUGUGUGAAGAAGGUCUUCGGAUUGUAAAGCACUUUAAGUUGGGAGGAAGGGCAGUAAGCGAAUACCUUGCUGUUUUGACGUUACCGACAGAAUAAGCACCGGCUAACUCUGUGCCAGCAGCCGCGGUAAUACAGAGGGUGCGAGCGUUAAUCGGAAUUACUGGGCGUAAAGCGCGCGUAGGUGGUUCGUUAAGUUGAAUGUGAAAGCCCCGGGCUCAACCUGGGAACUGCAUCCAAAACUGGCGGGCUAGAGUAGGGCAGAGGGUGGUGGAAUUUCCUGUGUAGCGGUGAAAUGCGUAGGUAUAGGAAGGAACACCAGUGGCGAAGGCGACCACCUGGGCUCAUACUGACACUGAGGUGCGAAAGCGUGGGGAGCAAACAGG
RNAcentral lists this ribosomal RNA (429 nucleotides) under Pseudomonadota bacterium. RNAcentral describes it as "Proteobacteria bacterium partial 16S ribosomal RNA". It matches the Rfam family "Bacterial small subunit ribosomal RNA", at positions 355 to 776 of the family's 1533-position model. Lineage: Bacteria; Pseudomonadati; Pseudomonadota. The record is from RNAcentral.